Molecule: unclassified non-coding RNA, 299 nt
Filed under: plant metagenome
Description: partial contains 5.8S ribosomal RNA, internal transcribed spacer 2, and large subunit ribosomal RNA
Rfam family: 5.8S ribosomal RNA (bases 1-105)
Source: RNAcentral
GAAAUGCGAUAAGUAAUGUGAAUUGCAGAAUUCAGUGAAUCAUCGAAUCUUUGAACGCACAUUGCGCCCCCUGGUAUUCCGGGGGGCAUGCCUGUUCGAGCGUCAUUUCACCACUCAAGCCUCGCUUGUUAUUGGGCGACGCGGUCCGCCGCGCGCCUCAAAUCGACCGGCUGGGUCUUCCGUCCCCUCAGCGUUGUGGAAACUAUUCGCUAAAGGGUGCCGCGGGAGGUCACGCCGCAAAACAACCCCAUUUCUAAGGUUGACCUCGGAUCAGGUAGGGAUGCCCGCUGAACUUAAGC